CGGGAGGCGACUCCUGACCCAGCCUCCGAGACAAGCAAGCCUCUAUUUGAGCCAGGAACCGAGCUGUCAAAGUGCCAGGAAUUGAUUCGUGGGUACAUCAUACUCGAGUUAAGAGGUGGCACCCUGACCAAAAUUAAGUGACUUCAUUUUA
Long non-coding RNA from Bubalus bubalis (water buffalo), 151 nucleotides. RefSeq lists it as uncharacterized. The record is from RefSeq and is a predicted model, not a curated record. The transcript has 2 exons. NCBI's taxonomy places the organism in Eukaryota, Metazoa, Chordata, Mammalia, Artiodactyla, Bovidae.